This 407-nucleotide ribosomal RNA is filed under the name uncultured bacterium. RNAcentral's name for it is "partial 16S ribosomal RNA". It matches the Rfam family "Bacterial small subunit ribosomal RNA", at positions 30 to 526 of the family's 1533-position model. The record is from RNAcentral.
AUUGAACGCUAGCGGGAUGCCUUACACAUGCAAGUCGAACGGAGUGGCGAACGGGUGAGUAAUGUAUCGGAACGUGCCCAGUAGCGGGGGAUAAAUACGCGAAAGCGUAGCUAAUACCGCAGACGAUGGGAGCGGCAGAUAUGGGAUUAGCUAGUUGGUGGGGUAACGGCUCACCAAGGCGACGAACCAUAGCUGGUUUGAGAGGACGACCAGCCACACUGGGACUGAGACACGGCCCAGACUCCUACGGGAGGCAUCAGUGGGUAAUUUUGGACAAUGGGGGAAACCCUGAUCCAGCCAUCCCGCGUGUGCGAUGAAGGCCUUCGGGUUGUAAAGCACUUUUGGCAGGAAAGCGGUACCUGCAGAAUAAGCACCGGCUAACUACGUGCCAGCAGCCGCGGUAAUUC